GAUGAACGUUGGCGGUGUGCCUAAUACAUGCAAGUCGAACGGAGUUAAUAGCAAUAUUGACUUAGUGGCGAACGGGUGAGUAACGCGUUGGUGAUCUGCCUUGAAGUGUGGAAUAACGCUCCGAAAGGAGCGCUAAUACCGCAUGUGCUCUCAAUUUUUAGAAAGUUGAGAGGAAAGGAUUUAUUCGCUUCGAGAGGAGCCUGCGUCCCAUCAGCUGGUUGGUAGGUAAAGGCCUACCAAGGCAAUGACGGGUAGGGACCUGAGAGGGUGGCCCCCCACAAUGGAACUGAAACACGGUCCAUACACCUACGGGUGCAGCAGUUGGGAAUCUUCGGCAAUGGGCGCAAGCCUGACCGAGCAACGCCGCGUGAGUGAUGAAGGUUUUCGGAUUGUAAAGCUCUGUCUUCCGGGACGAUAAUGACGGUACCGGAGGAGGAAGCCACGGCUAACUACGUG
RNAcentral lists this ribosomal RNA (456 nucleotides) under uncultured bacterium. RNAcentral's name for it is "bacterial SSU rRNA". It matches the Rfam family "Bacterial small subunit ribosomal RNA", at positions 28 to 507 of the family's 1533-position model. The record is from RNAcentral.